RNAcentral lists this ribosomal RNA (253 nucleotides) under uncultured bacterium. Its description in RNAcentral is "partial 16S ribosomal RNA". It matches the Rfam family "Bacterial small subunit ribosomal RNA", at positions 524 to 776 of the family's 1533-position model. The record is from RNAcentral.
UACAGAGGUCUCAAGCGUUGUUCGGAUUCAUUGGGCGUAAAGGGUGCGUAGGUGGCGGGGUAAGUCAGACGUGAAAUCCCUCGGCUCAACCGGGGAACUGCGUCUGAUACUGGGUGGCUUGAAUUCGGGAGAGGGAUGCAGAAUUCCAGGUGUAGCGGUGAAAUGCGUAGAUAUCUGGAGGAAUACCGGUGGCGAAGGCGGCAUCCUGGACCGACAUUGACGCUGAGGAGCGAAAGCUAGGGGAGCAAACGGG